This 1467-nucleotide ribosomal RNA is filed under the name Salmonella enterica subsp. enterica serovar Enteritidis. Its description in RNAcentral is "bacterial SSU rRNA". It matches the Rfam family "Bacterial small subunit ribosomal RNA". The record is from RNAcentral. Lineage: Bacteria; Pseudomonadati; Pseudomonadota; Gammaproteobacteria; Enterobacterales; Enterobacteriaceae.
GCUGCUUUGCUGACGAGUGGCGGACGGGUGAGUAAUGUCUGGGAAACUGCCUGAUGGAGGGGGAUAACUACUGGAAACGGUGGCUAAUACCGCAUAACGUCGCAAGACCAAAGAGGGGGACCUUCGGGCCUCUUGCCAUCAGAUGUGCCCAGAUGGGAUUAGCUUGUUGGUGAGGUAACGGCUCACCAAGGCGACGAUCCCUAGCUGGUCUGAGAGGAUGACCAGCCACACUGGAACUGAGACACGGUCCAGACUCCUACGGGAGGCAGCAGUGGGGAAUAUUGCACAAUGGGCGCAAGCCUGAUGCAGCCAUGCCGCGUGUAUGAAGAAGGCCUUCGGGUUGUAAAGUACUUUCAGCGGGGAGGAAGGUGUUGUGGUUAAUAACCGCAGCAAUUGACGUUACCCGCAGAAGAAGCACCGGCUAACUCCGUGCCAGCAGCCGCGGUAAUACGGAGGGUGCAAGCGUUAAUCGGAAUUACUGGGCGUAAAGCGCACGCAGGCGGUCUGUCAAGUCGGAUGUGAAAUCCCCGGGCUCAACCUGGGAACUGCAUUCGAAACUGGCAGGCUUGAGUCUUGUAGAGGGGGGUAGAAUUCCAGGUGUAGCGGUGAAAUGCGUAGAGAUCUGGAGGAAUACCGGUGGCGAAGGCGGCCCCCUGGACAAAGACUGACGCUCAGGUGCGAAAGCGUGGGGAGCAAACAGGAUUAGAUACCCUGGUAGUCCACGCCGUAAACGAUGUCUACUUGGAGGUUGUGCCCUUGAGGCGUGGCUUCCGGAGCUAACGCGUUAAGUAGACCGCCUGGGGAGUACGGCCGCAAGGUUAAAACUCAAAUGAAUUGACGGGGGCCCGCACAAGCGGUGGAGCAUGUGGUUUAAUUCGAUGCAACGCGAAGAACCUUACCUGGUCUUGACAUCCACAGAAGAAUCCAGAGAUGGAUUUGUGCCUUCGGGAACUGUGAGACAGGUGCUGCAUGGCUGUCGUCAGCUCGUGUUGUGAAAUGUUGGGUUAAGUCCCGCAACGAGCGCAACCCUUAUCCUUUGUUGCCAGCGGUUAGGCCGGGAACUCAAAGGAGACUGCCAGUGAUAAACUGGAGGAAGGUGGGGAUGACGUCAAGUCAUCAUGGCCCUUACGACCAGGGCUACACACGUGCUACAAUGGCGCAUACAAAGAGAAGCGACCUCGCGAGAGCAAGCGGACCUCAUAAAGUGCGUCGUAGUCCGGAUUGGAGUCUGCAACUCGACUCCAUGAAGUCGGAAUCGCUAGUAAUCGUGGAUCAGAAUGCCACGGUGAAUACGUUCCCGGGCCUUGUACACACCGCCCGUCACACCAUGGGAGUGGGUUGCAAAAGAAGUAGGUAGCUUAACCUUCGGGAGGGCGCUUACCACUUUGUGAUUCAUGACUGGGGUGAAGUCGUAACAAGGUAACCGUAGGGGAACCUGCGGUUGGAUCACCUCCUUACCUUAAAGAA